ACAUGCAAGUCGAACGGGCGUUAGGGGCUUGCUCCUAAGUUAGUGGCGAACGGGUGAGUAAUACAUCGGAACGUACCGUGUAUGGGGGAUAACGUAGCGAAAGUUACGCUAAUACCGCAUACGAUCUACGGAUGAAAGUGGGGGGACCUUUCGGGCCUCACGCUAUACGAGCGGCCGAUGUCUGAUUAGCUAGUUGGUGAGGUAAAGGCUCACCAAGGCAACGAUCAGUAGCGGGUCUGAGAGGAUGAUCCGCCACACUGGGACUGAGACACGGCCCAGACUCCUACGGGAGGCAGCAGUGGGGAAUUUUGGACAAUGGCGAAAGCCUGAUCCAGCCAUGCCGCGUGUCUGAAGAAGGCCUUCGGGUUGUAAAGGACUUUUGUCAGGGAGCAAAACUUAGAGGUUAAUAACCUUUGAGGUUGAGAGUACCUGAAGAAUAAGCACCGGCUAACUACGUG
Molecule: ribosomal RNA, 458 nt
Filed under: uncultured bacterium
Lineage: Bacteria
Description: bacterial SSU rRNA
Rfam family: Bacterial small subunit ribosomal RNA
Source: RNAcentral